This 197-nucleotide ribosomal RNA is filed under the name uncultured bacterium. RNAcentral's name for it is "partial 16S ribosomal RNA". It matches the Rfam family "Bacterial small subunit ribosomal RNA", at positions 1302 to 1500 of the family's 1533-position model. The record is from RNAcentral.
AGGCUGCAACUCGCCUGCAUGAAGUCGGAAUUGCUAGUAAUCGCGGAUCAGCAUGCCGCGGUGAAUACGUUCUCGGGCCUUGUACACACCGCCCGUCACACCAUGGGAGUCGGUAACACCCGAAGUCUGUAGCCUGACGCAAGAGGGCGCAGCCGAAGGUGGGAUUGAUGACUGGGGUGAAGUCGUAACAAGGUACC